RNAcentral lists this ribosomal RNA (463 nucleotides) under uncultured bacterium. RNAcentral describes it as "partial 16S ribosomal RNA". It matches the Rfam family "Bacterial small subunit ribosomal RNA", at positions 28 to 507 of the family's 1533-position model. The record is from RNAcentral.
GACGAACGCUGGCGGCGUGCUUAACACAUGCAAGUCGAACGGUGAACCUCUUCGGAGGGGUUCAGUGGCGAACGGGUGAGUAACACGUGGGCAACCUGCCCCCGGCUCUGGGAUAACUCCAAGAAAUUGGGGCUAAUACCGGAUGUUCACCGCUUCCCGCAUGGGUGGUGGUGGAAAGGGUUUCCGGCUGGGGAUGGGCCCGCGGCCUAUCAGCUUGUUGGUGGGGUAGUGGCCUACCAAGGCGACGACGGGUAGCCGGCCUGAGAGGGUGACCGGCCACACUGGGACUGAGGGACGGCCCAGACUCCUACGGGGGGCAGCAGUGGGGAAUAUUGCGCAAUGGGCGGACGCCUGACGCAGCGACGCCGCGUGGGGGAUGACGGCCUUCGGGUUGUAAACCUCUUUCAGCAGGGACGAAGCGCAAGUGACGGUACCUGCAGAAGAAGCACCGGCCAACUACGUG